This 253-nucleotide ribosomal RNA is filed under the name uncultured bacterium. RNAcentral describes it as "partial 16S ribosomal RNA". It matches the Rfam family "Bacterial small subunit ribosomal RNA", at positions 524 to 776 of the family's 1533-position model. The record is from RNAcentral.
UACGAAGGGUGCAAACGUUGCUCGGAAUCAUUGGGCGUAAAGCGCACGUAGGCGGCCUCGUAAGUCGGAUGUGAAAUCCCACGGCUCAACCGUGGAAGUGCAUCCGAAACUGCGAGGCUCGAGUAUGGAAGAGGGUCGCAGAAUUCCCGGUGUAGAGGUGAAAUUCGUAGAUAUCGGGAGGAAUACCAGUGGCGAAGGCGGCGACCUGGGCCAAUACUGACGCUGAGGUGCGAAAGCGUGGGGAGCAAACAGG